Neoarius graeffei (lesser salmon catfish) is the source of this 73-nucleotide non-coding RNA. The record is from the annotation of a RefSeq genome assembly. NCBI's taxonomy places the organism in Eukaryota, Metazoa, Chordata, Actinopteri, Siluriformes, Ariidae.
ACCAGGAUGGCUGAGUGGUUAAGGUGUUGGACUUAAGAUCCAAUGAAUGUGGGUUCAAACCCCACUCCAGGUA